CACCGCGGUUAUACGAAUAGGCCCAAGUUGAUGAACAUCGGCGUAAAAAGUGGUUAGGAACAGAGCUAGAUACUAAAGCCGAACAUCCUCAAAGCUGUUAUACGCUUCCGAUGAAAAGAAGCCCCCUUACGAAAGUAGCUUUAACCCCAACCUGACCCCACGAAAGCUGAGCUA
Molecule: ribosomal RNA, 174 nt
Filed under: Crenicichla lacustris (pike cichlid)
Lineage: Eukaryota; Metazoa; Chordata; Actinopteri; Cichliformes; Cichlidae
Description: partial small subunit ribosomal RNA
Source: RNAcentral